This 1561-nucleotide ribosomal RNA is filed under the name Chalinolobus gouldii (Gould's wattled bat). RNAcentral describes it as "16S ribosomal RNA". It matches the Rfam family "Bacterial large subunit ribosomal RNA". The record is from RNAcentral. Lineage: Eukaryota; Metazoa; Chordata; Mammalia; Chiroptera; Vespertilionidae.
AGCUAAAUAUAGUCCAAAUCAAAUCCCUUUAAAUUAUCUCUAAAAUUAAAAUAAAACAUUCAUCAACAAUUAAAGUAUUAGGUGAUAGAAAUUUUACUUGGCACUAUAGAGAAAGUACCGUAAGGGAAAACUGAAAGAGAAUUAUAAGUGAAAAACAGCAAAGCUUAAAACUUAUACCUUUUGCAUAAUGAUUCAACUAGAAACCUUUAGCAAAAAGAAUUAUAGUUAAACAACCCGAAACCAGACGAGCUACCUAUCAGCAGCCUGUUUAGAGCAAACUCAUCUAUGUGGCAAAAUAGUGAGACGACUGGUAGGUAGAGGCGAUAAACCUAUCGAGCCUGGUGAUAGCUGGUUGUCCAGAAAGGAAUUUUAGUUCCAAUUUAAAUUUACCUAUAAAUAAAUAAACUAUAAUGUAAAUUUAAAUAUUAAUCUAAAAAGGUACAGCCUUUUAGAUACGGGAUACAACCCCCUCUAGAGAAUAAAAAUUUUAAACCACAAUAGUAGGCCUAAGAGCAGCCAUCAAAUAAGAAAGCGUUAAAGCCCAACAGCAUAAAGACUUAAUAUCACAAUAACAAUUUAAUUCCUAACAUAAAACUGGACUAUUCUAUUUUCAAAUAGAAGUAAUAAUGUUGAUAUGAGUAACAAGAAAAAUUUUCUCCCCGCAUAAGUGUAUAUCAGAACGAAUAAAUCGCUGAUAGUUAACAAAAUUAAUCCCAUUAACUACCACAUACCUCAAUAUUAAUUGUUAAUCCAACACAGGAGUGCAACAAAGGAAAGAUUAAAAAGAGUAAAAGGAACUCGGCAAAUAAGAACCCCGCCUGUUUACCAAAAACAUCACCUCUAGCAUAAAAAGUAUUAGAGGCACUGCCUGCCCAGUGACUUUAGUUUAACGGCCGCGGUAUCCUGACCGUGCAAAGGUAGCAUAAUCAUUUGUUCUCUAAAUAGGGACUUGUAUGAAAGGCUUCACGAGGGUUUAACUGUCUCUUACUUUUAAUCAGUGAAAUUGACAUUCCCGUGAAGAGGCGGGAAUAAUAUAAUAAGACGAGAAGACCCUAUGGAGCUUUAAUUAAUUAAUUUACAUGGCCUCAUACAAUCUCUACAAGAGACAACAAAGCCAUAAUUAAAUUAAUAAUUUAGGUUGGGGUGACCUCGGAGCAAAACUCAACCUCCGAGAAUAAUUCUAUUAAGACUUACAAGUCAAGAUUAUGUCAUUACACAAUGAUCCGCCAUCGGCGAUCAACGAAACAAGUUACCCUAGGGAUAACAGCGCAAUCCUAUUCAAGAGUCCAUAUCGACAAUUAGGGUUUACGACCUCGAUGUUGGAUCAGGACAUCCCAAUGGUGCAGCAGCUAUUAAUGCGUUCGUUUGUUCAACGAUUAAAGUCCUACGUGAUCUGAGUUCAGACCGGAGUAAUCCAGGUCGGUUUCUAUCUAUUAACUAAGUCUCUCCCAGUACGAAAGGAUCAGAGAGACAGGGCCUACUUAUAACUAAGCGCCUUAACAAAACAGAUGAAAUAAUCUCAAUCAUACUAUAACCAUAAAUGUACCCUAGAUAAAGGAUC